CGCGGGGCGAUCGAGAUUGUCGAGCUCGAUGCACGAACUGCAACUUACAGCCGACCGGAACCAACGCAGCUUGGUUUCUUCGUAUUAUAUUUUAUAGUUACACAAUACAAAAUCUGUCGAAGUUCGAAAAAAAUCAUGAGAGAGAGAGAGAGAGCGAGAGAGAGAGAGAGAGAGAGAGAGA
Vespula pensylvanica (western yellowjacket) is the source of this 181-nucleotide long non-coding RNA. RefSeq lists it as uncharacterized. The record is from RefSeq and is a predicted model, not a curated record. Lineage: Eukaryota; Metazoa; Arthropoda; Insecta; Hymenoptera; Vespidae. The transcript is spliced from 2 exons.